RNAcentral lists this ribosomal RNA (420 nucleotides) under uncultured bacterium. Its description in RNAcentral is "bacterial SSU rRNA". It matches the Rfam family "Bacterial small subunit ribosomal RNA", at positions 356 to 773 of the family's 1533-position model. The record is from RNAcentral.
GAGGAAUAUUGGUCAAUGGGGGCAACCCUGAACCAGCCAAGUCGCGUGAAGGAUGAAGGUCUUAUGGAUUGUAAACUUCUUUUAUACGGGAAUAAAGUGGGGGACGUGUCCCCCUUUGCAUGUACCGUAUGAAUAAGGAUCGGCUAACUCCGUGCCAGCAGCCGCGGUAAUACGGAGGAUCCGAGCGUUAUCCGGAUUUAUUGGGUUUAAAGGGUGCGCAGGCGGGAUGUUAAGUCGGCGGUGAAAUUUUGCAGCUCAACUGUAAAAGUGCCUUCGAUACUGGCCUCCUUGAGUGUGGAUGAAGUAGGCGGAAUUUGUGGUGUAGCGGUGAAAUGCUUAGAUAUCACGAGGAACUCCGAUUGCGCAGGCAGCUUACUAAACCACAACUGACGCUCAUGCACGAAGGCGUGGGGAUCAAAC